This 756-nucleotide ribosomal RNA is filed under the name uncultured bacterium. RNAcentral's name for it is "bacterial SSU rRNA". It matches the Rfam family "Bacterial small subunit ribosomal RNA", at positions 8 to 764 of the family's 1533-position model. The record is from RNAcentral.
AGAGUUUGAUCCUGGCUCAGGACGAACGCAGGCGGCGUGCUUAACACAUGCAAGUCGAACGAAUGACCUCGAAUAGAUUUCUUCGGAAUGAAAUUUGAAUGAUUUAGUGGCGAACGGGUGAGUAACAAGUGAGAAACCUGCCUGGCACAAGGGGAUAGCCUCCGGAAACGGUGAUUAAUACCCUAUGAUACCGACCUAUCGCAUGAUAGAUUGGUUAAAGAUUUAUCGGUGUCAGAUGGUCUUGCGGCUGAUUAGCUUGUUGGUGGGGUAACGGCCUACCAAGGCAACGAUCAGUAUCCGGCUUGAGAGGGUGAACGGACACACUGGAACUGAGACACGGUCCAGACUCCUACGGGAGGCAGCAGUGGGGAAUUUUGCACAAUGGGGGAAACCCUGAUGCAGCGACGUCGCGUGAACGAUGAAGGCCUUCGGGUUGUAAAGUUCUGUCCUUAGCGAAGAUAAUGACAGUAGCUAAGAAGCAAGCUCCGGCUAAAUACGUGCCAGCAGCCGCGGUAAUACGUAUGGAGCAAGCGUUGUCCGGAAUUAUUGGGCGUAAAGGGUACGUAGGCGGUCGUGUGGGUCUAUAUUAAAAGGCAUUGGCUCAACCAAUGUUCGGUAUGGAAACUGCAUGACUUGAGUAGAUGAGGGGUAAGUGGAAUUCCUAGUGUAGCGGUGAAAUGCUUAGAUAUUAGGAGGAAUACCAGUGGCGAAGGCGACUUACUGGAAUCUAACUGACGCUGAGGUACGAAGGCGUGG